AUGGCAGCAUCCAGACAAGCAAAUUCCUCAUUAGAUCCUGCACCUUGUUUUUUGCCAGGCGAACAGUUGGGCUCCUGGCAGAUGGGAAGUCGACCUGAAAAUGAGCAUGGGACACACUCUGCCCACACCAGCGCUGCCAAGGACCAGCCCUGCUGUGCAGAAGGCAGGGAUGUCGUGUUAUGGUUCGGACAACAGAGCACCGCAGGAACGGUGACCCUGAUGGAUUUCACAUGUGUGGCAAGACCUGGUGGAGGCUCUGCCCUUUCACACGCUGGACUUCUCUACUGUGCAGUGUCAAAGGUUUGGCUUCCCAUCGCCCCGUUUCAUUUCUCACUGUUUGCUGAAGGACUUCGUGUCAUCCCUCCUCUUCCCUUCCAACUGGAGAGGACAAGCCACUUGCCUUUAUAGGUGGGGAUGAACCAUAACCCAGAGUCCCAAAUCAGCUGCGACUCCCAUGGCAACAUCCAAGAACCAAGCUAAUUUUACCAAUGUAAUUUCUGGGAAAAUAACAAGAUGAGCCACCAAAACCUCUCCUCAUCUCCUGGCAUCCUCCCAGGGUGACAGACCAUGGAGAAACUGCAUGUGGGGUUGAGGUCUGCUUUCCAGUAAGUCAGAACUAGAAAAGCAUCCUAAACUUUCCUUUGCCCUACUACAAGUAGUUCAUGUAAUUACUACAGUUCUGUGUUCAUUCCUCCUAACCAGCAGUGAACUUCCUGCACCUAAACAGCACCAAAGUGCCUAAAUCAUAUUGUUCAAGAAUCAAGAGCGUUUGUGAACCCAGAUCUCAUAGAUUUUCCUUACAAACCAUUACCCUAACAAUGUCCUUUUCUCCCAGCUAGCCCAUUCUCAUCUAAUUUACACUUUAUUCUCUCUCCAUUUACCCCCUUUCUGUUAUCUUUUAACCAAGGAUCGUUGCCCAAUUCUCAUUCUUACUCAUGCUUUAAGGGCUGGCGUUUGCUCUGCACGGAGGAACAGGAAGCUCUCAGUCCUCGUCCGCAUGUAGCUGGUGGCUGCCCUGUCCCCUACUGAGCCAAACCUGGCAUCUCCUGGCCAGCCAUCGCAUCAGCCUGCUCCUGCAGCCAUGGGGUCAAGCCUAUUUGUUGUGAACCUCAGAGUGAGGGAAAGAAAAUGGGUUUCUGAGGGAAACUGCUCAUGGAAAUCAGUUCCUAGUUUUGUCUAAAAAAAUAAAAGGUGAAAUGAAAGAAACUGUAGUGAAGUU
This 1219-nucleotide long non-coding RNA is filed under the name Anas platyrhynchos platyrhynchos (common mallard). RNAcentral's name for it is "lncRNA (ENSAPLG00000023895.1)". Lineage: Eukaryota; Metazoa; Chordata; Aves; Anseriformes; Anatidae. The record is from RNAcentral.